Astatotilapia calliptera (eastern happy) is the source of this 392-nucleotide long non-coding RNA. The record is from Ensembl. NCBI's taxonomy places the organism in Eukaryota, Metazoa, Chordata, Actinopteri, Cichliformes, Cichlidae.
CUCUAAUUCAAGCCAGGAGUCAAAAUGAUCAUCUUAUUUCUUUCCAUUAUUUUAAAAUGUUUUCUGGUUUCAGGCUCCUCUCUCAGUGACAAAGUCCACCAGAGACCAGCUGAUAUUUAUAUAAAUUCCACAGAUACAGCCGAAAUCUACUGUUCACACAGAAUAGACAGCUAUGAUCAAAUCCUUUGGUACAAGCAGUUAAAGAACAAGCAGCUACAGUUCCUGGGACGCUUGUACACAAGCAUGGCAAAUGUAGAGACCGGAGUGAACGUGUCAAUAACUGGGAGUGCAGAUAAAGACAAAACCUGCACAUUAACUGUUAAACAUGUCACCCUGAACAGUGGUGCUGUGUACUUCUGUGCUGCUAGAUACCACAGCGCUACAUAUCACGG